AGGAGGAACAGCAACAGUGGCGGCGGCCAGCCCUGGAGCCCUGAAUUCAGCUCCUGCCGUAACUAUGGAGCUCUCCGUCUGCAGGGGCCUGGAUGAUCCGGGGCGGC
This 107-nucleotide microRNA precursor is filed under the name Canis lupus familiaris (dog). RNAcentral's name for it is "mir-8834 microRNA precursor family". It matches the Rfam family "mir-8834 microRNA precursor family". The record is from Rfam by way of RNAcentral. Lineage: Eukaryota; Metazoa; Chordata; Mammalia; Carnivora; Canidae. RNAcentral also lists the same sequence under 1 other name.